RNAcentral lists this ribosomal RNA (184 nucleotides) under uncultured bacterium. Its description in RNAcentral is "partial 16S ribosomal RNA". It matches the Rfam family "Bacterial small subunit ribosomal RNA", at positions 1316 to 1500 of the family's 1533-position model. The record is from RNAcentral.
CUGUAUGAAGUCGGAAUUGCUAGUAAUCGCGGAUCAGCAUGCCGCGGUGAAUACGUUCCCGGGCCUUGUACACACCGCCCGUCACACCAUGAGAGCCGGUAAUACCCGAAGUCAGUAGCCUAACCGCAAGGAGGGCGCUGCCGAAGGUAGGAUUGGCGAUUGGGUGAAGUCGUAACAAGGUAUC